GCUGCUGUGGCGGAAUUGGCAGACGCGCUGGACUUAGGAUCCAGUCCGCAAGGGUGCAGGUUCAACUCCUGUCAGCAGCACCA
This 83-nucleotide transfer RNA is filed under the name Clostridia bacterium. RNAcentral describes it as "tRNA-Leu". It matches the Rfam family "tRNA". From Rfam's summary of the family: Transfer RNA (tRNA) molecules are approximately 80 nucleotides in length. Their secondary structure includes four short double-helical elements and three loops (D, anti-codon, and T loops). Further hydrogen bonds mediate the characteristic L-shaped molecular structure. tRNAs have two regions of fundamental functional importance: the anti-codon, which is responsible for specific mRNA codon recognition, and the 3' end, to which the tRNAs corresponding amino acid is attached (by aminoacyl-tRNA synthetases). tRNAs cope with the degeneracy of the genetic code in two manners: having more than one tRNA (with a specific anti-codon) for a particular amino acid; and 'wobble' base-pairing, i.e. permitting non-standard base-pairing at the 3rd anti-codon position. Lineage: Bacteria; Bacillati; Bacillota; Clostridia. The record is from RNAcentral.